UACGGGGGGGGCAAGCGUUGUUCGGAAUUACUGGGCGUAAAGCGCGUGUAGGCGGUUCGUAAAGUCGGAUGUGAAAGCCCUGGGCUUAACCCAGGAAGUGCAUUCGAAACUCACGAACUUGAGUCCCGGAGAGGAAGGCGGAAUUCUCGGUGUAGAGGUGAAAUUCGUAGAUAUCGAGAGGAACAUCUGUGGCGAAGGCGGCCUUCUGGACGGUGACUGACGCUGAGACGCGAAAGCGUGGGAAGCAAACAGG
RNAcentral lists this ribosomal RNA (253 nucleotides) under uncultured bacterium. RNAcentral describes it as "partial 16S ribosomal RNA". It matches the Rfam family "Bacterial small subunit ribosomal RNA", at positions 524 to 776 of the family's 1533-position model. The record is from RNAcentral.